This 1336-nucleotide ribosomal RNA is filed under the name uncultured bacterium. RNAcentral's name for it is "bacterial SSU rRNA". It matches the Rfam family "Bacterial small subunit ribosomal RNA". The record is from RNAcentral.
AGAGUUUGAUCAUGGCUCAGAACGUACGCUGGCGGCACGCCUAACACAUGCAAGUCGAACGAGUAGCAAUACUAGUGGCAGACGGGUGAGUAACAUGUAGGUAUCUGCCCUUUGGCCUGGAAUAACACGAGGAAACUUGUGCUAAUACCGGAUAAGUCUUUACGGAGAAAGCUUUAUGCACCAUUGGAUGAGCCUGCACUUGAUUAGUUUGUUGGUGGGGUAAUGGCCUACCAAGACUGUGAUCAAUAGCUGAUUUGAGAGGAUGAUCAGCCACAUUGGGACUGAGACACGGCCCAAACUCCUACGGGAGGCAGCAGUGGGGAAUCUUGCACAAUGGAGGAAACUCUGAUGCAGCGAUGCCGCGUGAGUGAAGAAGGCCUUUGGGUUGUAAAGCUCUUUCGUCGGGGAAGAAAAUGACUGUACCCGAAUAAGAAGGUCCGGCUAACUUCGUGCCAGCAGCCGCGGUAAUACGAAGGGACCUAGCGUAGUUCGGAAUUACUGGGCUUAAAGAGUUCGUAGGUGGUUGAAAAAGUUGGUGGUGAAAUCCCAGAGCUUAACUCUGGAACUGCCAUCAAAACUUUUCAGCUAGAGUAUGAUAGAGGAAAGCAGAAUUUCUAGUGUAGAGGUGAAAUUCGUAGAUAUUAGAAAGAAUACCAAUUGCGAAGGCAGCUUUCUGGAUCAUUACUGACACUGAGGAACGAAAGCAUGGGUAGCGAAGAGGAUUAGAUACCCUCGUAGUCCAUGCCGUAAACGAUGUGUGUUAGACGUUGGAAAUUUAUUUUCAGUGUCGCAGCGAAAGCGAUAAACACACCGCCUGGGGAGUACGACCGCAAGGUUAAAACUCAAAUGAAUUGACGGGGACCCGCACAAGUAGUGGAGCAUGUGGUUUAAUUCGAAGAUACGCGCAGAACCUUACCAACACUUGACAUGUUCGUCGCGACUCUAAGAGAUUAGAGUUUUCGGUUCGGCCGGACGAAACACAGGUGCUGCAUGGCUGUCGUCAGCUCGUGUCGUGAGAUGUUGGGUUAAGUCCCGCAACGAGCGCAACCCUCACUUUUAGUUGCCAUCAUUAAGUUGGGCACUCUGAAAGAACUGCCAGUGAUAAGCUGGAGGAAGGUGGGGAUGACGUCAAGUCCUCAUGGCCCUUACGUGUUGGGCUACACACGUGCUACAAUGGUAUCUACAACAGGAAGCAAAACCGCGAGGUUAAGCAAAUCCUUAAAAGAUACCUCAGUUCGGAUUGCACUCUGCAACUCGAGUGCAUGAAGCUGGAAUUACUAGUAAUCGUGGAUCAGCGUGCCACGGUGAAUGCGUUCCCGGGUCUUGUACACACCGC